This is a non-coding RNA of Pantherophis guttatus, 345 nucleotides long. Lineage: Eukaryota; Metazoa; Chordata; Lepidosauria; Squamata; Colubridae. The record is from RefSeq and is a predicted model, not a curated record.
CUGGGCUGCUGCCGGCAGGGCGGGACCGACGGGGCGCCGGGAGAGCUGCUCUCGCUGCUGCGGGGCCACAAAGCGACCAGUGGGCAGCAGCCUCCUCGUUUGCCCCUCAUCUUGGAAAAGCCACCAGGAUUUGACCAGCCUGUGCAACAUGGACAACACUGAACCAGCCAUGGAUGAUCUGCAGAUGCCCUGUGUAAGUGAGGCAAAAUGCCAUCCACCGAAUUGUGACUGCGGGCCGAAAAACCAACUAUCCAAGAUAUAGUGACAGAGUACCAAAAGAAAGCCUAUAAUGGAGACAAAUGAAGCAAAAAUUGCAUUUGUAAUAAAAACGUACGUUUGAUUUUU